Molecule: ribosomal RNA, 274 nt
Filed under: uncultured bacterium
Lineage: Bacteria
Description: partial 16S ribosomal RNA
Rfam family: Bacterial small subunit ribosomal RNA
Source: RNAcentral
ACGCGUAAGGGGCAAGCGUUGUUCGGAAUUAUUGGGCGUAAAGGGCGCGUAGGCGGUUUUACAAGUCUGGUGUGAAAGACCUCAGCUUAACUGAGGGACCGCGCUGGAAACUGUAAGACUAGAAUCUAGGAGGGGAAGCUGGAAUUCCUGGUGUAGGGGUGAAAUCUGUAGAUAUCAGGAAAAACACCGGUGGCGAAGGCGAGCUUCUGGCCAUAGCUUGACGCUGAGGCGCGAAAGCGUGGGGAGCGAACAGGAUUAGAAACCCCAGUAGUCC